CAGCAGCCGCGGUAAUACGAAGGGUGCAAGCGUUAAUCGGAAUUACUGGGCGUAAAGCGUGCGUAGGCGGUGAGUUAAGUCUGCUGUGAAAUCCCCGGGCUCAACCUGGGAAUGGCAGUGGAUACUGGCUCGCUAGAGUGUGUCAGAGGAUGGUGGAAUUCCCGGUGUAGCGGUGAAAUGCGUAGAGAUCGGGAGGAACAUCAGUGGCGAAGGCGGCCAUCUGGGACAACACUGACGCUGAGGCACGAAAGCGUGGGAGCAAACAGGAUUAGAUACCCCGGUAGUCCCUGUCUCUUAUACA
Molecule: ribosomal RNA, 301 nt
Filed under: uncultured bacterium
Lineage: Bacteria
Description: partial 16S ribosomal RNA
Rfam family: Bacterial small subunit ribosomal RNA
Source: RNAcentral